RNAcentral lists this long non-coding RNA (3763 nucleotides) under Nicotiana benthamiana. Its description in RNAcentral is "long non-coding RNA (NBEN_LNC032591)". Lineage: Eukaryota; Viridiplantae; Streptophyta; Magnoliopsida; Solanales; Solanaceae. The record is from RNAcentral.
GGAAAUAUCAAUACCAUAGAUCCAGGUGGAACUUUGCACAUUGAUGAGAUUCAAAUAUUAAGUGAAGUAGAAAAUUCAGAUGCAAAUCAAGAGCAAAGUAUAGAUGAAGACCAAGACAAAUCAGUGCAAGUCUAUGCAAUAAGGGAUGCAAAUCCAAACACAAUUAAGGAAGCAGCAGUAGAAACACAUAACACCGCGAACCAAGUGGAAUUAAGAGAUGUAGAUUUGGAGGAAGAAUCCACUGCUCAAAUUUUCCUUAAUGUUCCUAAGCAUGGGGAUCUGUCUCAAAGGCAUAUUGAACCUGUGAAAUUUCCAGCAAAAGAAAAAAAGAAACAGUCAAAAGAGAAUUCAAAUGCACGGACCAAGGGAAUAAAAACAAGGAGCACUCUGUCCAAGCACAAAAAUAUAUAAUGGAUGCCAUUAUAUGGAAUGUGAGAUCAGUAAAUACAAUGCAAGCAUUUCAAAGGCUAGUUACAAUGCAUCAGAAACAUCAAUUUCAAUUCAUAGGAAUCAUUGAACCUAUGCAGCAGUCUAACAAAAUGGAGAGNNNNNNNNNNNNNNNNNNNNNNNNNNNNNNNNNNNNNNNNNNNNNNNNNNNNNNNNNNNNNNNNUGCAGCAGUCUAACAAAAUGGAGAGAUAUAGAGCAAGAAUUGGUUUGGCUCAAGCUGUGGUGAAUGUGUCAAACAAGAUUUGGGCAUUUAUUGAUGAAAUCUUUGCAGUUGAUAUUCUGUAUAAUAUGAAUCAACAGUUGACUUUAAAAUUGGUGCACACUGAAACACAUGCAGAGCUCAUCCUCACGCUAGUAUACGCUAAAUGUGAUCGCAUUGAAAGAAUUGAGCUAUGGGAUUCUCUAUAUUCAAUGGUAUCACACAUUACUGUUCCAUGGCUGGUCGAAGGAGACUUUAAUGUGAUUUGGGAUGAGGAAGAGAAGUUUGGCAGCUUGCCAGUCUCGUUCCUCGAAGUAGAUCACUUCAGACAUUGCAUAAACUCAUGCUCUUUAAACGAUUUGGGGUAUAAAGGAUGCAUUUACACAUGGUGGAACGGAAGAUCAGAAGAGGACUGUAUAUUCCAAAGACUAGAUAGAUGUCUAGGAAAUGAUGAACUGCAAUAGACCUUUCCUGCAUUGGAGGUAACUCAUUUGUCCAAAAUCGGCUCCGACCAUUGCCCCAUGCUGCUCAAAUGUUAUAAAAAAAGCUCCCCCAGUUAAGAAGUCUUUCAGAUUUCUUAAUUUCUGGACAAAGCAUGACUCUUUUAAUGAUGUAGUCAAGGAGAAUUGGAAGGCUGAUUUUAGUGCUAACCCUUUCACCAUUUUUAACUACAUGGUAAAGAAGCUUAAACAUGCACUUUCUACCUGGAGUAGAGCUACAUAUGGGGACAUUUUCCAGAAGAUUGAAAGUCUAGAGGAGGUGGUCCUGUUUCAUGAAAAACAAUUUGAAGUUAAUCCUACAUAGAUAAACAGACAGAGAUUGUGACUGAUCCAAGCUGAAUUGCUUAAAUAUCUUGCAGUAGAAGAACAAUUUUGGAGACAAAAAGCAGGCAUGUUAUGGUUCAAUGUUGGUGAUAGAAACACUAAAUUUUUCCAUGCUCAAGUUAAUGGGAGAAGGAAGAGACUAAAAUUAUCAAGGAUUCAAAAUAGCCUUGGUAAUUAUCAAGAAGAUCAUGUAAUAGCAGAAGAAGCAGUAAAGUUUUACAAGGAAUUAUUUACUGAGAGUUCAAUUCCUAAUGCUUUUGAUAUUCUAAACCAAGUACCUUCAAUGGUAGAUAAUGAUCAACAUGAGAGAUUAAUGGCUUUACCUUCUAAUGAGGAAGUGAAGAAAGCAGUCAUGGGGCUCAAUGGGGAUUAGCAAGUGGUCCAGAUGGUUUCACAUGAGCCUUUUACCAAACGUGCUGGGAAAUCAUUGAAGAAGAUGUAGUCGUCAUGGUCAAGUCUUUUUUCUGCGGUCACCAACUGCCAAAGAAUGUGACGCACACAAACCUGGUUUUAUUACCAAAGAAAAAAGAAGUGACUACCUUUGCAGACAUGAGGCCAAUUAGUCUUAGCAACUUUGUUAACAAGAUUUUCUCAUGGGUCAUUCAUGAAAUGUUAGUUGAACUGUUACCAAGCUUAAUCUUAGGAGAGCAAGCUGAAUUGGUGAAGGGAAGAAACAUCGUUGAGAAUGUUCUGCUAACUGAAGAAAUCACUAAGGAUAUCAGGGUAAGAAUUAAAGCAUGUCCAAAUGUUGUGAUAAAGCUAGACAUGACAAAAGCUUAUGAUAGGUUAUCAUGGCUUUUCCUGACUAAAGUGCUAAGGAAGAUGGGAUUUCCUGAAGGUUUUAUUGGCUUGAUAUUUUAUUUAAUAGGGAACAAUUGGUACUCUAUUCUAAUAAAUGGUCAGCCAUAUGGCUUUUUCAAAUCUUCUAAGGGUGUUAAGCAGGGAGACCCGCUGUUUCCUACACUAUUCGUUAUAGCAGCAGAAGCACUGUCUCGAGGUUUGAACUCACUGCAUACUAACUUGUAUUUUCGUGGAUUUGGACUUCCAAAAUGGAGCCCAAGAAUAAACCAUAUGGCUUAUGCGGAUGAUACAAUCAUUUUCUGCUCAUCAGAUGAAACUUCAUCGAGACUUGUCAGGGAGGUUUUGCAAGCUUAUGAAUCAGCAACUGGUCAACUGGUGAACAAAGUCAAAUCAGCCAUAUAUCUGCACCAUUCAUCGAAAAAUGAGGUGAUUAACAAGGUGGAAAGGAUUACUGGUAUAGGAAAACAGUGUUUUCCAAAGACCUAUCUUGGUUGUCCUAUAUUUUAUGCCAGAAGAAGGAGUGAUUACUACCAGGGAUUAAUUUCAAAGGUGAUGGACAAACUGCAGUCAUGGAAAGGCAAACUUCUUUCUGUAGGAGGCAGGGCCAUAUUGAUUGAAAAUGUUCUGCAAAGUAUCUCAAUUCAUAUGCUGUCAGCAGUUAAUCCUCCAAGCUAUGUCAUUUCAAAAAUACAUAGCAUUUUUGCAAAAUUUUUCUGGAGCAGUAAUGUGGGAGGAAGCUCAAGACAUUGGUCCAAAUUACAUAGCAUUUUUGCAAAAUUUUUCUGGAGCAGUAAUUUGGGAGGAAGCUCAAGACAUUGGUCAUCUUGGACUAACCUGUGUAUGCCAUAUGAGGAAGGGUGUAUAGGCUUCAGAUCCCUUCAUGAUGUAUCCAAGGCAAUGUUCUGCAAAUUGUGGUGGAACUUUAGGACAAAACCCAGUUUAUGGAGUGCAUUUAUGUGUCAAAGAUAUUGCAAGAAAUUAAAUCCUGUAAUUGUAUCGUGGAAGGGUGGAUCCCACGUUUGGAAGAAAAUGCUUCAAUGCAGGGACUUGAUCGAGCAUCAAAUCUACUGGAAAUUGAGAAUAGGAUCAGCUCAAUUCUGGUUCGACAAUUGGACAGAAAUGGGACCACUAUAUUUCCAAAUGCCAUACCAGUUUGCCAUUGAUGAAGACAUUCACAAUGUCAAUGAUAUGAUUGAAGAUGGUAUAUGGAAUAUGGAAAAAUUAUUUCAGACUCUGCCUGAAGAGUGGGCUAACCACAUUGUGCAGAAUAUUAGACCCCCAAAAGAAUGUGCAGAGUUAGAUACACAUUUCUGGAUGCUUGAAGAAAGGGGACAUGUGCUGAUCCUAAGCAGGAGUCUUUAGUUCAUUUAUUCCUUACAUUAAAUGCAGCUAAGAGUGUCUGGAAUUAUUUCUUAAAGAGAGCAGGAAUUCAAAUAGAAGGGUUGUCUUUACAUCAAGCAAUUACAAAAUGCUGGACGACUUCAGCCAUAC